This 665-nucleotide long non-coding RNA is filed under the name Mus musculus (house mouse). RNAcentral's name for it is "long non-coding RNA chr11:88215347-88216012". Lineage: Eukaryota; Metazoa; Chordata; Mammalia; Rodentia; Muridae. The record is from RNAcentral.
AGAAGAGAGGGCACCUGACACAAUGUGGCCCCGAGAGUGGAGGCCUGCUGCACAGGCCACUGCCGGAGCAGAGCGUGGGAGUGCGGUAGGGAAACGAGAGCUCUCUCUUCCCCGCUCUGUGCUCUGGAGGUCCGCCUCAGAGAUGAGUCAGGUCCCAGCCUCAUUGCGGGGUUAGCUGUGGGCUGUCAGGCUGUUUCUGUGAGCCACUUGGUGGAAGUCACCUUGGCUGGCGGAGGAAGGGCAGUUGCCCUCCUGUGGGAAAGACAGGAAAUGAUUUCCACGUCGCUCCUAGGGUAGUCCUCGGUGUGGCACACUGGCCUCUGAUUGGAUGCGCCUGGCUCCAGAGCGGUUUCUGUGGAGAUGCUGAGCCAGGCAAGUGGCUAUUGCUCCGACACAGUGAGUUGGUUGCUAGGGGAGGGUAAAGGAGGCAGAGAGUUGAGUGUCAUGUCCCCUAAACAUGUCACCAUCAACUACCAUUGCUUCCUUCCACCGGGAGAUUGCAGAGGGAGUUUUUGUUGUUGUUGUCGACUUGCUAAGCUGACAAUCACGUUGCAUUUCAAGCUUAAUUUUCCCCUUGAUUGACGCCUUUCCUGGGCUCUAACUUAAACACCAGUCACCUGACCUUCUCGCUGCUCAGUUCUUUUAAUUAAAAGAUGGUUCCAAGC